GGGAGGACCAUCUCCCAAGGCUAAAUACUCUCUAGUGACCGAUAGUGAACCAGUACCGUGAGGGAAAGGUGAAAAGCACCCCGGAAGGGGAGUGAAAUAGAACCUGAAACCGUGUGCUUACAAGUAGUCAGAGCCUGUUAAUGGGUGAUGGCGUGCCUUUUGUAGAAUGAACCGGCGAGUUACGAUUUGAUGCAAGGUUAAGCAGUAAAUGUGGAGCCGUAGCGAAAGCGAGUCUGAAUAGGGCGUUUAGUAUUUGGUCGUAGACCCGAAACCAGGUGAUCUACCCUUGGUCAGGUUGAAGUUCAGGUAACACUGAAUGGAGGACCGAACCGACUUACGUUGAAAAGUGAGCGGAUGAACUGAGGGUAGCGGAGAAAUUCCAAUCGAACCUGGAGAUAGCUGGUUCUCUCCGAAAUAGCUUUAGGGCUAGCCUCAAGUGAUGAUUAUUGGAGGUAGAGCACUGUUUGGACGAGGGGCCCCUCUCGGGUUACCGAAUUCAGACAAACUCCGAAUGCCAAUUAAUUUAACUUGGGAGUCAGAACAUGGGUGAUAAGGUCCGUGUUCGAAAGGGAAACAGCCCAGACCACCAGCUAAGGUCCCAAAAUAUAUGUUAAGUGGAAAAGGAUGUGGCGUUGCCCAGACAACUAGGAUGUUGGCUUAGAAGCAGCCAUCAUUUAAAGAGUGCGUAAUAGCUCACUAGUCGAGUGACACUGCGCCGAAAAUGUACCGGGGCUAAACAUAUUACCGAAGCUGUGGAUUGUCCUUUGGACAAUGGUAGGAGAGCGUUCUAAGGGCGUUGAAGCAUGAUCGUAAGGACAUGUGGAGCGCUUAGAAGUGAGAAUGCCGGUGUGAGUAGCGAAAGACGGGUGAGAAUCCCGUCCACCGAUUGACUAAGGUUUCCAGAGGAAGGCUCGUCCGCUCUGGGUUAGUCGGGUCCUAAGCUGAGGCCGACAGGCGUAGGCGAUGGAUAACAGGUUGAUAUUCCUGUACCACCUAUAAUCGUUUUAAUCGAUGGGGGGACGCAGUAGGAUAGGCGAAGCGUGCGAUUGGAUUGCACGUCUAAGCAGUAAGGCUGAGUAUUAGGCA
RNAcentral lists this ribosomal RNA (1086 nucleotides) under Staphylococcus aureus. Its description in RNAcentral is "partial 23S ribosomal RNA". It matches the Rfam family "Bacterial large subunit ribosomal RNA", at positions 446 to 1538 of the family's 2925-position model. Lineage: Bacteria; Bacillati; Bacillota; Bacilli; Caryophanales; Staphylococcaceae. The record is from RNAcentral.